This is a small nucleolar RNA of Ictalurus punctatus (channel catfish), 71 nucleotides long. The record is from Ensembl. Lineage: Eukaryota; Metazoa; Chordata; Actinopteri; Siluriformes; Ictaluridae.
UUGAAAUGAUGACUUGAGAUUACCGCCCCAGUCUGAUGUGUAGUGACUGACUGGUACCCCUCUGAUCUCCU